RNAcentral lists this ribosomal RNA (324 nucleotides) under uncultured eukaryote. RNAcentral describes it as "partial 18S ribosomal RNA". It matches the Rfam family "Eukaryotic small subunit ribosomal RNA", at positions 1470 to 1796 of the family's 1831-position model. The record is from RNAcentral.
CCCUUAGAUGUCCCGGGCUGCACGCGCGCUACACUGAUGUGUCCAGUAAGCACCUAACCUCUUCCGAAAGGAACGGGUAACCUUUGCAAAGCACAUCGUGAUGGGGAUAGAUUGUUGCAAUUAUUAGUCUUGAACGAGGAAUUCCUAGUAAGCACAAGUCAUCAGCUUGUGUUGAUUACGUCCCUGCCCUUUGUACACACCGCCCGUCGCUCCUACCGAUUGAAUGUUCCGGUGAGCUCUUCGGACUGCGCGGUCUGCAGUUUCUGCGUUCCGUGCGGAAAGUUGCGCAAACCUUAACAUUUAGAGGAAGGAGAAGUCGUAACA